GGAUGUGAGGGCGAUCUGGCUGCGACAUCUGUCACCCCAUUGAUCGCCAGGGUUGAUUCGGCUGGUCUGGCUGGUUAGGUGGGUGUCCCCUUCCUCAUUGUUCCAUGUGUGUCCCUCUUGAAGCUGCGCACUUAGUGGAAGAGGACGACCUUCCCUGAAUAGAAGAGGACCUGUCUUCGGUCAAGGGUAUAUGAGUAGCUGCACUCCCCUGCUAGAACCCCCCAAACAAGCUCUCAAGAAAAUAAGGUACAUUUACACAAAGGAGUACUACUCAGCUGUUAAAAACAGUGACUUUACAUU
Mesocricetus auratus (golden hamster) is the source of this 300-nucleotide unclassified non-coding RNA. Its record names the gene 7SK. It matches the Rfam family "7SK RNA". From Rfam's summary of the family: 7SK was discovered as an abundant small nuclear RNA in the mid-70s but a possible function has only recently been suggested. Two independent studies have found that 7SK RNA binds the CDK9/cyclin T complex (known as elongation factor P-TEFb). The record is from Ensembl. NCBI's taxonomy places the organism in Eukaryota, Metazoa, Chordata, Mammalia, Rodentia, Cricetidae.